This 500-nucleotide unclassified non-coding RNA is filed under the name Hevea brasiliensis (rubber tree). Lineage: Eukaryota; Viridiplantae; Streptophyta; Magnoliopsida; Malpighiales; Euphorbiaceae. The record is from RNAcentral.
CGGAUAUGUCAUUUUCUACUAUUAAUAAAUAAAUCGUCCAUUAUAAGUUUAAAAUGAUACCUACUAACUCAAUUAUAUUCAAUAGAACUCUAGCUAUAAAUAUUUAGAACCCUAACUAUAAAUGUAUUAGUUAGUUUUCUCGGUACAUAACUUAAUAUAUUUGCUAUUUUAAUUAAUACCAUAAAGAUGUUUUCAAAUAAGGUGUUUUUAAUUACAUAAGCAAAAAUUUCUCAUCAAUAGACAAGUUUCUCUCACCCAUGAAUAAGAAUUUUUAUUCUUGGUUAUGUCUUUUAUUCAUCUUAGGCCAAAAUCUUUUUAGGCAAGUGCCACCCACUUUAAUGGGUAAGAGCUUUUUUCUUCAUAAUGGACAAAAGUUAUUUCUUAGUGGGAAAAACCAAAUAACCUCUUCACAAAAUUCCUAUUUAUAGUGUUAGUUACAUCAAUUCUAAUCUAAUUAAGACUUAAUUCUAUUUGGGAAUAACACUAAAAUAAGAAUUUUA